Molecule: ribosomal RNA, 575 nt
Filed under: Cuscuta squamata
Lineage: Eukaryota; Viridiplantae; Streptophyta; Magnoliopsida; Solanales; Convolvulaceae
Description: eukaryotic LSU rRNA
Rfam family: 5.8S ribosomal RNA (bases 204-359)
Source: RNAcentral
GGAAGGAUCAUUGUCGAAAGCCUCGUAGUAGAAAGACUGUUAACCUGUACCAAUACACGAUUCAAGCGUCGUGGCCAUCCUCUUGGUUUGCCCACGAUGAACAAAAACUCCGGCGCAGCAGCGCCAAGGAUUUUCACGAUGAGAAUGCAACCUCGUAGAGCUUUAUUUCGCUGCUUGUGGGGUUGGCAUCCUUUUAACUAAAUGACUCUCGGCAAUGGAUAUCUCGGCUCUUGCAUCGAUGAAGAACGUAGCGAAAUGCGAUACUUGGUGUGAAUUGCAGAAUCCCGUGAACCAUCGAAACUUUGAACGCAAGUUGCGCCUCAAGCCGUUAGGUUGAGGGCACGUUUGCUUGGGUGUCAUUUGUUAUGUCUCCCCUCCUGUGUGGUGUGGGAGUAGAUUGUGGCCUCCUGGGCCCUUCCUUGGGUGUGGUUGGCUGAAAAUGUUGUCCUCGAUUUUGUUGAUGUCUUGGUGUGCGGUGGAUGUACCAAGUGUGCAUAAUUGCCAGCCUUGCUUGACUUCGUUGUGGCCUUUUGAUCCUUAGAAGCUGUCGGUGUGGGCUCUUUGAUUGCGACCCC